RNAcentral lists this ribosomal RNA (372 nucleotides) under uncultured organism. Its description in RNAcentral is "bacterial SSU rRNA". It matches the Rfam family "Bacterial small subunit ribosomal RNA", at positions 526 to 896 of the family's 1533-position model. The record is from RNAcentral.
UGAAGGGUGCUAGCGUUGUUCGGAAUCACUGGGCGUAAAGCGCGCGUAGGCAGCUUUUCAAGUCAGGGGUGAAAUCCCAGAGCUUAACUCUGGAAUUGCCUUUGAAACUGAGAAGCUAGAGUAUUGGAGGGGAUAGCGGAAUUCCUAAUGUAGAGGUGAAAUUCGUAGAUAUCGAGAGGAACACCAGUGGCGAAGGCGAGUCCCUGGACAGGUCCUGACGCUGAGGCACGAAAGCUAGGGGAGCAAACAGGAUUAGAUACCCUGGUAGUCCUAGCCGUAAACGGUGCGUAUUUGCUGUAAAAGGAAUCGACCCCUUUUGUGGCGUAGCAAACGCGUUAAAUACGCCGCCUGGGAAGUACGGUCGCAAGAUUA